This is a non-coding RNA of Cinara cedri, 365 nucleotides long. Lineage: Eukaryota; Metazoa; Arthropoda; Insecta; Hemiptera; Aphididae. The record is from the annotation of a GenBank genome assembly.
GCAGAAUAGUACUACUCACAUUUUUCUCUUGUUGCCAAGCUAACACAGAAAUACACAAAAAUCAUAUGGAAAAAAAGAGCUGAAACUGGGGAUGGAAGCGACCACUGUUGUAGGUGAGAAGUUAUAAAGGUAGGAUACAUGAAGUUAUUUCAUUUAUACCUGUAAGCAACGAUAAACCAUUGAUUAACGAAAGACGAUUCCGAGCGCAGUUCGUCAAUACAUAAGUGCCUUAAUUCUUUUUGAGAUUUUCGUUUAAAUUUGAUUCAAAAACACUUAUUAUAAAAAAAAAAAGUCAUCCGAUGAUUUUGGAAAUUUUAUUACGUCUAAAUAAGUCCAAUAUAAGUAUUAUUACAAAGUUUCAAGUC